GGGUUGUGAGGUUAAGCGACUAAGCGUACACGGUGGAUGCCCUGGCAGUCAGAGGCGAUGAAGGACGUGCUAAUCUGCGAUAAGCGUCGGUAAGGUGAUAUGAACCGUUAUAACCGGCGAUUUCCGAAUGGGGAAACCCAGUGUGUUUCGACACACUAUCAUUAACUGAAUCCAUAGGUUAAUGAGGCGAACCGGGGGAACUGAAACAUCUAAGUACCCCGAGGAAAAGAAAUCAACCGAGAUUCCCCCAGUAGCGGCGAGCGAACGGGGAGCAGCCCAGAGCCUGAAUCAGUGUGUGUGUUAGUGGAAGCGUCUGGAAAGGCGCGCGAUACAGGGUGACAGCCCCGUACACAAAAAUGCACAUGCUGUGAGCUCGAUGAGUAGGGCGGGACACGUGGUAUCCUGUCUGAAUAUGGGGGGACCAUCCUCCAAGGCUAAAUACUCCUGACUGACCGAUAGUGAACCAGUACCGUGAGGGAAAGGCGAAAAGAACCCCGGCGAGGGGAGUGAAAAAGAACCUGAAACCGUGUACGUACAAGCAGUGGGAGCACGCUUAGGCGUGUGACUGCGUACCUUUUGUAUAAUGGGUCAGCGACUUAUAUUCUGUAGCAAGGUUAACCGAAUAGGGGAGCCGAAGGGAAACCGAGUCUUAACUGGGCGUUAAGUUGCAGGGUAUAGACCCGAAACCCGGUGAUCUAGCCAUGGGCAGGUUGAAGGUUGGGUAACACUAACUGGAGGACCGAACCGACUAAUGUUGAAAAAUUAGCGGAUGACUUGUGGCUGGGGGUGAAAGGCCAAUCAAACCGGGAGAUAGCUGGUUCUCCCCGAAAGCUAUUUAGGUAGCGCCUCGUGAAUUCAUCUCCGGGGGUAGAGCACUGUUUCGGCAAGGGGGUCAUCCCGACUUACCAACCCGAUGCAAACUGCGAAUACCGGAGAAUGUUAUCACGGGAGACACACGGCGGGUGCUAACGUCCGUCGUGAAGAGGGAAACAACCCAGACCGCCAGCUAAGGUCCCAAAGUCAUGGUUAAGUGGGAAACGAUGUGGGAAGGCCCAGACAGCCAGGAUGUUGGCUUAGAAGCAGCCAUCAUUUAAAGAAAGCGUAAUAGCUCACUGGUCGAGUCGGCCUGCGCGGAAGAUGUAACGGGGCUAAACCAUGCACCGAAGCUGCGGCAGCGACACUAUGUGUUGUUGGGUAGGGGAGCGUUCUGUAAGCCUGUGAAGGUGUGCUGUGAGGCAUGCUGGAGGUAUCAGAAGUGCGAAUGCUGACAUAAGUAACGAUAAAGCGGGUGAAAAGCCCGCUCGCCGGAAGACCAAGGGUUCCUGUCCAACGUUAAUCGGGGCAGGGUGAGUCGACCCCUAAGGCGAGGCCGAAAGGCGUAGUCGAUGGGAAACAGGUUAAUAUUCCUGUACUUGGUGUUACUGCGAAGGGGGGACGGAGAAGGCUAUGUUGGCCGGGCGACGGUUGUCCCGGUUUAAGCGUGUAGGCUGGUUUUCCAGGCAAAUCCGGAAAAUCAAGGCUGAGGCGUGAUGACGAGGCACUACGGUGCUGAAGCAACAAAUGCCCUGCUUCCAGGAAAAGCCUCUAAGCAUCAGGUAACAUCAAAUCGUACCCCAAACCGACACAGGUGGUCAGGUAGAGAAUACCAAGGCGCUUGAGAGAACUCGGGUGAAGGAACUAGGCAAAAUGGUGCCGUAACUUCGGGAGAAGGCACGCUGAUAUGUAGGUGAAGUCCCUCGCGGAUGGAGCUGAAAUCAGUCGAAGAUACCAGCUGGCUGCAACUGUUUAUUAAAAACACAGCACUGUGCAAACACGAAAGUGGACGUAUACGGUGUGACGCCUGCCCGGUGCCGGAAGGUUAAUUGAUGGGGUCAGCGCAAGCGAAGCUCUUGAUCGAAGCCCCGGUAAACGGCGGCCGUAACUAUAACGGUCCUAAGGUAGCGAAAUUCCUUGUCGGGUAAGUUCCGACCUGCACGAAUGGCGUAAUGAUGGCCAGGCUGUCUCCACCCGAGACUCAGUGAAAUUGAACUCGCUGUGAAGAUGCAGUGUACCCGCGGCAAGACGGAAAGACCCCGUGAACCUUUACUAUAGCUUGACACUGAACAUUGAGCCUUGAUGUGUAGGAUAGGUGGGAGGCUUUGAAGUGUGGACGCCAGUCUGCAUGGAGCCGACCUUGAAAUACCACCCUUUAAUGUUUGAUGUUCUAACGUUGACCCGUAAUCCGGGUUGCGGACAGUGUCUGGUGGGUAGUUUGACUGGGGCGGUCUCCUCCUAAAGAGUAACGGAGGAGCACGAAGGUUGGCUAAUCCUGGUCGGACAUCAGGAGGUUAGUGCAAUGGCAUAAGCCAGCUUGACUGCGAGCGUGACGGCGCGAGCAGGUGCGAAAGCAGGUCAUAGUGAUCCGGUGGUUCUGAAUGGAAGGGCCAUCGCUCAACGGAUAAAAGGUACUCCGGGGAUAACAGGCUGAUACCGCCCAAGAGUUCAUAUCGACGGCGGUGUUUGGCACCUCGAUGUCGGCUCAUCACAUCCUGGGGCUGAAGUAGGUCCCAAGGGUAUGGCUGUUCGCCAUUUAAAGUGGUACGCGAGCUGGGUUUAGAACGUCGUGAGACAGUUCGGUCCCUAUCUGCCGUGGGCGCUGGAGAACUGAGGGGGGCUGCUCCUAGUACGAGAGGACCGGAGUGGACGCAUCACUGGUGUUCGGGUUGUCAUGCCAAUGGCACUGCCCGGUAGCUAAAUGCGGAAGAGAUAAGUGCUGAAAGCAUCUAAGCACGAAACUUGCCCCGAGAUGAGUUCUCCCUGACCCUUUAAGGGUCCUGAAGGAACGUUGAAGACGACGACGUUGAUAGGCCGGGUGUGUAAGCGCAGCGAUGCGUUGAGCUAACCGGUACUAAUGAACCGUGAGGCUUAACCUUACAACGCCGAAGGUGUUU
RNAcentral lists this ribosomal RNA (2930 nucleotides) under Escherichia coli. Its description in RNAcentral is "bacterial LSU rRNA". It matches the Rfam family "Bacterial large subunit ribosomal RNA". Lineage: Bacteria; Pseudomonadati; Pseudomonadota; Gammaproteobacteria; Enterobacterales; Enterobacteriaceae. The record is from RNAcentral.